CUUGUACACACCGCCCGUCACACCAUGGGAGUUGGUUUUACCUGCAGACGGUGCGCUAACCCGCAAGGGAGGCAGCCGGCCACGGUAGGGUCAGCGACUGGGGUGAAGUCGUAACAAGGUAGCCGUAGGGGAACCUGCGGCUGGAUCACCUCCUUU
Molecule: ribosomal RNA, 156 nt
Filed under: Bradyrhizobium japonicum
Lineage: Bacteria; Pseudomonadati; Pseudomonadota; Alphaproteobacteria; Hyphomicrobiales; Nitrobacteraceae
Description: partial 16S ribosomal RNA
Rfam family: Bacterial small subunit ribosomal RNA
Source: RNAcentral